AGAGUUUGAUCAUGGCUCAGGAUGAACGCUAGCGGCAGGCUUAAUACAUGCAAGUCGUGGGGCAGCAUGGGGUAGCAAUACUCUGAUGGCGACCGGCAAACGGGUGAGGAGCACGUACGCAACCUUCCUUUAACUGGAGAAUAGCCCCUCGAAAGAGGGAUUAAUACUCCGUAACAUAAUGAUAAGGCAUCUUAUUAUUAUUAUAGCUCCGGCGGUUAAAGAUGGGCGUGCGACUGAUUAGAUAGUUGGCGGGGUAACGGCCCACCAAGUCUGCGAUCAGUAACUGGUGUGAGAGCACGACCAGUCACACGGGCACUGAGACACGGGCCCGACUCCUACGGGAGGCAGCAGUAAGGAAUAUUGGUCAAUGGACGCAAGUCUGAACCAGCCAUGCCGCGUGGAGGAUUAAGGCCCUCUGGGUUGUAAACUCCUUUUAUCUGGGAAGAAAUGCAUUUUUUCUAAAAUGCUUGACGGUACCAGAGGAAUAAGCACCGGCUAACUCCGUGCCAGCAGCCGCGGUAAUACGGAGGGUGCAAGCGUUAUCCGGAUUCACUGGGUUUAAAGGGUGCGUAGGCGGAUAGGUUAAUCAGUGGUGAAACU
Molecule: ribosomal RNA, 600 nt
Filed under: uncultured Sphingobacteriales bacterium
Lineage: Bacteria; Pseudomonadati; Bacteroidota; Sphingobacteriia; Sphingobacteriales
Also listed under: 1 other name
Description: bacterial SSU rRNA
Rfam family: Bacterial small subunit ribosomal RNA
Source: RNAcentral